GUGUAGUGGGUCCUUUGUUCUCGGGGGUGGCCGCUAUUCAGGAAACGAACACGUGGCGGCGGCCAUUUUAAAAUUCCCGAACAGCGGUGUUUUGCCGCCGAGUGUCUGGAACCCAAAUCGGACACUCGGCUAGGCAAACACCGCUGAGACCUCCAUACGCACGAUACGUUCGCUUCCAAACUACCGAACGGCCCCUCGUUCGGUAGAAAGAAACAACUGAACGAGGGGAUUCAUGCGAACUCUCCCUGAUCUCUGUAACCUUAGCCUUUCGUGUAGUUUGUUCCCUUAUACUGUGACCGACCGCAGGGCCCCAUCGCAUGGAACCCAAUUCGGCUGUUCUCUCCAGCGCGGUCGGUCUUUUAUUACCUCCAUAAAUUUCCCGAACCCCUGGUCCGUUCUGGGUGAUUUUUGGAUAUGUUGCUCACCCAGAU
Molecule: non-coding RNA, 431 nt
Organism: Pelobates cultripes (western spadefoot toad)
Lineage: Eukaryota; Metazoa; Chordata; Amphibia; Anura; Pelobatidae
Source: the annotation of a GenBank genome assembly